RNAcentral lists this ribosomal RNA (467 nucleotides) under uncultured bacterium. Its description in RNAcentral is "partial 16S ribosomal RNA". It matches the Rfam family "Bacterial small subunit ribosomal RNA", at positions 28 to 507 of the family's 1533-position model. The record is from RNAcentral.
GAUGAACGCUGGCGGCGUGCUUAACACAUGCAAGUCGAACGGAAAGGCCAGUGCUUGCACUGGUGCUCGAGUGGCGAACGGGUGAGUAACACGUGGGUGAUCUGCCCUGCACUUUGGGAUAAGCCUGGGAAACUGGGUCUAAUACCAGAUAGGACCAUGCUUUGGAUGGUGUGGUGGAAAGUUUUUUCGGUGUGGGAUGAGCUUGCGGCCUAUCAGCUUGUUGGUGGGGUAAUGGCCUACCAAGGCGUCGACGGGGAGCCGGCCUGAGAGGGUGUACGGCCACAUUGGGACUGAGCUACGGCCCAGCCUCCUACGGGAGGCAGCAGUGGGGAAUAUUGCACAAUGGGCGCAAGCCUGAUGCAGCGACGCCGCGUGGGGGAUGACGGCCUUCGGGUUGUAAACUCCUUUCGCAACUGACGGAGCUUUUUGUGACGGUAGGUUGAGAAGAAGCACCGGCUAACUACGUG